UGGCUCGAUGGCGUCCAGCGUGGAGGAGGAUGGGGACGAGCGACGGAGGGGAGGAGAUCCGGUGAGGAAGCGGUCCGGCGAGGCAGCUUCGGGCGACGGCGAGGUUGCUCUGGUUGGCGGCGAUUCCUUGGGCGCGGGCGCACGAAGGACGACGAGGCGCCGGCGGUUGGAGGCAGAGGGCGGCGUCGGGGCCAAGGGGACAUGGAAGGCUAGCACCGAGGCAUGGCAGCGGCGCGGCUUGGCGGAGCCAGGAGCGAACGAAGGUAGGAGAGGCUGUGAGGGGGGUUCAAGCACGAGGCAUCUCGCCUCUGUGUGUGCGGCGGCGCGAGGGAUUGUGAGGGGAGCGAGAGGAGUGGGGGAACGAGAGGGAGUAUUCUCGCUGCAGUUAGUGUAAGUGUGAGGUUGGUUGGGCCUAGCAGGCCUAAGGCCCAGGGGGAUGAGGGGGGUUUGAUUUUUUUGUUGUUGUUGUCGUUUUUUUUCUCUUUUCUUUUUACUAUUUUUUUCUUCUAUUAUGUUUUACUUUACUUUUUGUUUUUCUAGCUUUGUAAAAUACGAUGAUAGCUCCUAAAUUAAUGUUUCCGAAUAACCCACUGCCCUAAAAAGUUUACCCCCUAAAUAGAAUAGUUUAACAUUUUAUUAAUUAUAAAAGGCAUUUCAAUAAUUGUUUUUGCUACUGUUUUAAUCACUUUACAGUAUUUAACAAUUUUAUAUAAGUGUGGUUUCUCCACCAAUGUUACCUAUGAAUUAUCUGGUACCUCUAGAACAAUUUAGUUUGAAAGUUUGAAAACUUUUUAUCGUUUGACUUAAAGUUGAAUUUGAAUUUGAAUCAGUUUUGAACUAACGCGAGAUUAACAACAGUAACCGUGGUGACAUGGCAUCAUUAACGUGGGAUUACUAUAGCCUAAUUAUCCAGGCGUCACAAUUCUCCUCCACUACAAGAAAUCUCGUCCCGAGAUUUAAGAGGUAGUGAAAGGGGGGAAGGUUUGGUAACACAUCUAGCAUGUCUUCUCAUCCUGGCUUGCUCUUCUCAGAGAGGCCGGUCCAAUACAUUGAUGUCUUCAUUUCUCUGCUUCAGGUCAUCAUGAUGAAGUCGGCGUCCUUUCUUCAGGAACUCCAUCGUACUUAUGAAAGAAUAGGGGGUUAUUUCAGAAGAACGGAUCUCUUACAAGGUUGACUAUCUGCAUAACAACAUCAAGGAAGGUGGCGGAAAGUAACCCUUGAAACUUUAGAAAUUAUCGAUAGAAAAGUAAGAAGGUGCAAAAUAGAAGUUUCAAGCGCAUAGGCAAUCAUUUGUUGCCUCAUACGAAAUGUGAAAUGGGUUCGGAGUAAUGGGGAAGUAUUGCAUUUAAUACCAGAAUUGACGAUCACACAGAAGGUGGCUCAUGAAUUACAUACGAAGCCAAGCGUGAGGAAUAACUUUGGAAACAGGGGAUGUAUAGGAGAGUCAGGUUUCGAUCCUGUGGAACUUUGGGUUAUGGGCCCACCAUGUGGUUAAAAGUAGGAAGGGCGUUGACAUCUUGCACGGUCAUAAUAGCAAGACAUGUCAGGGGGUAGCCUAUUAGUUAUGCCGGCAACAAUGUCGGUACCAAGGGCGAGGGAUGAAGAGAACCAUUUUCCCGCUCGUUGAACGAGGCGGGCCAAUAGGCAAAGUUUUCGUCCAUCGGUGGCUACCAGAAUGUCAUCAACAAUAGUAACACGGUCUUACUGACAGAGUUGUACACUGAGGUGGGACAAAAAGUAGAAAAUCCUUUAGUAAGGGGAGAGAAACUUCAUGACAUUAUCCAUACAACGGUGUUUGGAUAAUUGAUAAAGAAAAUUUAGCAUUGUGCUUCAAAUGUUCUUAUUGAAAAUCGGAGUACGAGUGACAUGCUUCAAGAUAGAAUUGACAAGGUCUUCCAGCAAAGGUCAGGCUCUGGAUACACGAAGGAUCCAUCAGGAACAACUUGUAGAAUAAGUAUUACAAUUUCCUCAUGAAAGAAUGGAUAACCUUGCAGAAAAAGGAAACUAUAACACUAGGUGCUCCGGCUAGGUGUGCUAGGCAUGACAUCACCUUACCCGGUCAUGUAAAGAUGUUAUAACCCCUGGUAACAUGUUCCAAUCAUCACAUCUGACUAAGAUCCAGAUCUGAUUGGUGUCGGGAUAACUCAGAUUCAGAAUGCCCGAGAAGAAAGGCACAACACAAAUUGACGAGAUGACAUUGUAAGAUUUUCGGAAAAUGAACUAUGGAAGCGAGUUCCGAAACAAGAAUUCAUCAUUACACCAAGGAGAGGCUGAGGAGGUGGCUGAUGGUCUCAGUGACAAUUCAAUGAGAUUUCCAAAAGAUGGAUUUCCACAAUUAUGUGAACAAGGAGUUAACAUUAGUCAGAUCAAAUGAUAUAAUGAUGUAUGCUCGAGGAAAACAUACACAAUUUAACAAUGAUAGAAGGGUGCACCCAGAAAUCUGGACUAGGUAGCACGAUCAAUGUUUGAAUGAUGAUUCAAUAAGCAAUAGACUUAGAAUGAAACUAUCGACCAUACACUUCAAGCAAUAUGGUUGCCAGAAGUUUUGAAUUUACACCUCAAAGUUCAAUUGCCGGUAUUCCGAUUGGAAACAACACGGGGACCAAGGAAUGAACGGAUAUGGCAAGAAGUAUCACCUGUAUCCAAAAUUCUUAAGAGGUGGUGAAAUUCUCACGACAUUCUUGAAAUAAAAGAUGGUCAUACUCCAAGGUAAAGAAGAACAAUUGCUGGAUAGCAAGGAACUCAACGUAUAACACAAAACAUGAACAAUUUUGUGUUGAACGGAAGGCAAUAAAAUGGUCGAUGAUAAAACAAAUCAUCGAGGGCAAGGAUGGUAUUUCUCAUCAUGAAUUCAAUUGAUAUCUAGGAAGGAGUCAAGAUGUUUAUGAUGAUCACGACAAAUUUUGUCAAGAGGCUCCACGAAGAAGCAAUCGAACAACGACUGCAUCAAGCAAAAGGACUGAUGCAGGGAUAGAUUAUUGGAUCCAUGGAUACGACACCAACUCGAAAUUGCUGUUCGAGGUGAACGAUAAGAUGAGGAAGAUCGAUGUAAGAUUAGCUCAGCGUAGAAACUUAUGCUCCGGGAAUAAGGACCAGGUAGCAUAGUUAAAAUCAGCACGAUAAUGAUAUAGCCGAUCCGGCUAAGAAUAACAUGAUCGAGUACAAACUCCUAAGUAAAGAAGAUUACUAAGAGUUGUCUAAUCGCGAUGCGGACUCAAUUUAGUUAUCGGUGUACUCGAGUGACUAACCACUCAGAACCCAGGAAAAAUUGGAAUUGGUGAGAAUGUAGUACUUGAUGAAGAACUCAUAAGAAGAUAUGAUGUUCUGUGAUAACCUCGAGAUACCAUGGGGUAAUACUUGACAAUAGAUUAAAGUAGAGGUUGGACUAGGGUAUUGCUCUAUAGAAGACAAGUGCUUACACUUGCACGAGAAAUGGUAUUUAAAGGAGAACAUGGUCGGAACCACGAUUGCAAAAGGCUAGAUCCCACAUAUAAGAUGAACUUAUACCAAGGGAAUAACUAAUUUAAGACAAUCUUUAAUGAUAAGAUCUACAUCGUGUCCAUGGGCAUGAACACAAAGUUCAAGGUCGACUCCCACUUCUUCAAUGCAUAACCUUUCAUUCACUGCUCUAGAUAAAGAUGAUUUCAUUGUCAAAACCUACCUGGUAAAUUACCAGAGGAGUAUGACCUGUGAAAACUUUCAGGCUCACACGGUUUAGAGAAGGUAUAGGUUCAACCCAUCGGGGCAUCUUAGAAACAUAUACCACAAGCUUCAAGAGUAAAUAUCACCAGCUCGAAAGCAUAGCAAGGUUGAGAAAGUAGAGGAUACAAUUUACCAAAGGCAUUAUGUAUCCGAGGGAAGGCUCACAAGGUUAUUGAAUAUGAAGGACGCUAUCGGAUAAAAUCCAUUAAAGGAUCUGCCGGUCCAUAACGGAGCUGAUGUGAGCAUCGACACACAACCAGAGGAAGUAACAAUGCAAAGGCAUUGGAUUAUAGAAACAACUGACUAAUCCAGAGCUCAAAUGCAAAGGAAUUGUGAUUUUCAAAUCAAGGGAUCAGAAGCAAUGUUCUGAUUAGGGAUGGAUAAGUUGAGUAGACUUAGGGCUACAAUUGAUGGCAAUUGGAUUGGUUGAGAACCAGAUCAUGUUCGAAAGACGUCUGAGAUGGAAAGAUAAUUUAUAAGGAUCAACUGAUGAUUGCGUGCAUUCGCACUCAUGUUGAAUCAAUAGGAUCAAAAUGACGGUGUCUAAGGAUACUAACGAAUAUUGCCAGACAUAUGGAAAUCAUCCAUAAUGCAAGCAGACAAGUACUGCAGAGCAAUAAGCUACUGAGGAAUUUUGGAGGAUCAAAUAGUAUUUCGAAGACAAUUGUGAAACACAUGAACAACUGGGGAUGAGUGGAUACUCGAUAAGGGCGAGAAAUUAUCCGUAGUGGUAUUCAGGUGGCAAGGAACUGCAAGGCAGUAGGCACAAAAUAUUCUCGGAUCAAUAGAGAGGAUUUCAGGGUAUCUGGUUAUAACAAGAUGAACUGGGAAUAAAAGUAAGAACGGCAAGUGUAUGUAUUUAUCCAUAGGGAUAUUUCGGUGGUAGGGCAUUGCAAAAGCAACAGGCUCAAAGUCUCGAGAGAACAUCAGAGAGUAUCUUUGAAAUCCUUCGGUGGACCAAGUGAUCAUCUGGAGUAAGGAGCUCUCCGGGUGGAAGUAGUUACGAGAACCUAGAGUCGGCAUUAGUAAAAUCAUUUAACCAAAAUAGAGGAGAGAUUAGAAUCCCAGAGUAUAGGUCGAGGAAUAAAAGAUGCGAAUUCCACCGAAUGGCGACGUGGGUCCGUAAGACACGGAGCCAUGUUAGUAAAUGUUUUGCAAUGUCUAGACUCAACUUCGGCCAAGGAGUUUGGAAGGGGGAUUCCUACAGGCAGUCAGCUCUGAUACCAACUCGUGACGCCCCCGAUUCAAUAGUACACUAAUCAUACACGCAAACAUGUACGAUCAAGAUCAGGGACUCACAGGAAGAUAUCACAACACAACUCUACAAAUAAAAUAAAUCAUACAAGCAUCAUAUUACAAGCAGGGGCCUCGAGGGCUCGAAUACAAGAGCUCGAUCAUAGACGAGACAGCGGAAGCAACAAUAUCUGAGUACAGACAUAAGUUAAACAACUUUGCCUUAAGAAGGCUAGCACAAACUGGGAUACAGAUCGAAAGAGGCGCAUGCCUCCUGCCUGGGAUCCUCCUAACUACUCCUGGUCGCCAUCAGCGGGCUGCACGUAGUAGUAGGCACCUCCGGUGUAGUAGGAGUCAUCGUCAACGGUGGCAUCUGGCUCCUGGGCUCCAUCGUCUGGUCGCAGCAAUCGGGUAUAGAAAGGGGGAAAAGAGAGGGCAAAGCAACCGUGAGUACUCAUCCAAAGUACUCGCAAGCAAGGAGCUACACUACAUAUGUAUGCAUUGGUAUCAAAUGGAAUAAGAGUAUCAUAUGUGGGCUGAACUUCAGAAUGCCGGAAUAAGAGGGGGAUAGCUAGUCCUGUCGAAGACUACGCUUCUGGCCACCUCCAUCUUGCAGCACGUAGAAGAGAGCAGAAGGUAAGUUCACCAAGUAGCAUCAUGGAACAUAAUCCUACUCGGCGAUCCUCUCCUCGUCGCCCUGUUAGAGAGCGACUACCGGGUUGUAUCUGGCACUUGGAAGGGUGUGUUUUAUUAAGUAUCAGGUUCUAGUUGUCAUAAGGUCAAGGUACAACUCCAAGUCAUCCUGUUACCGAAGAUCAUGGCUAUUCGAAUAGAUUAACUUCCCUGCAGGGGUGCACCACAUAACCCAACACGCUCGAUCCCAUUUGGCCGGACACACUUUCCUAGGUCAUGCCCGGCCUCGGAAGAUCAACACGUCACAGCCCUACCUAGGCACAACAGAGAGGUCAGCACGCCGGUCGAAAUCCUAUGGCACAGGGGUCUGAGCCGAUCGCCCAUUGCACACCCGCACGUUGCAUGGGCGGUCGAAGAGCAGACCUAGCAACCUCCAUUACAAAGGAAGUUGCGUUACGCGGUCCAACCCGGCGCGCGCCGCUCAGUCACUGACGUCACGAAGGCUUCGGCUGAUACCACGACGUCGAGUGCCCAUAACUGUCCCCGCGUAGAUGGUUAGUGCGUAUAGGCAAGUGGCCAGACUCAGAUCAAAUACCAAGAUCUCGUUAAGCGUGUUAAGUAUCCGCGAACACCGACCAGGGCCAGGCCCACCUCUCUCCUAGGUGGUCUCAACCUGCCCUGUCGCUCCGCCACAAAGUAAUAGUCGGGGGCCGUCGAGAACCCAGGCCCACCACUACCUGGGUGGAACCACCUGCCCCUUCAGCCCCCAUCUUCGAACAGUACCACAUGUAAUGUAAUAGUGUAAAGUAUAUAGUAUAUGCCCGUGAUCACCUCCCGAGUGAUCACGGCCCAGUAGUUUAGCAUGGCAGAUGGACAAGAGUGUAGGGCCACUGAUGGAACACUAGCAUCCUAUACUAAGCAUUUAGGAUUGCAGGUAAAGGUAACAACAAUAGUAGCAAGGACAGGUUAUCCAUCAAGAUAGGAUAACGGAAUGCAGUAACAUGGUACACUACUCUAAUGCAAGCAGUAGAAAGAGAGUAGGCGAUAUCUGGUGAUCAAGGGGGGGGGGCUUGCCUGGUUUCUCUGGCAAGUAGGGGUCGUCAAUAGCGUAGUCGGUUGGGGCACCAGCAGCGGCGUCGGUCUCGUAGUCUACCAGAACAGAUGCAUAACGAUGCAUUACAAAGCAAACAACGGUGUUAGGUGUGCCCUAACGCGGUAGUAGGUGAUACCGGCGAAGGGGGAAAACAUCUGGGAAAGUAUCCCGGCGUAUCGCGUUUUCGGACAAAGGAACCAGAGGGGGAAAGUUGCGAGUUUGAUAUGCUAGGGGCGUGUGGUGGACGAACGGGCUAUGUAACCGGAUUCGUCUUGUCGUUCUAAGCAACUUUCAUGUACAAAGUAUUUCCAUCUGAGUUACAGAUUACUUUCUAUGAUUUUCAAAGUUUUAUAUGAUUUUCUGGAAUUUAUGGAAUUAAUUCCAAUUCGAAAAUAAAGAAUAAAUUGCUACGUGCAUACACAAAGUGUACACAUCAGAGCAGCACAGAGGGUGACAGUGGGGCCCAGUUGACUGCCCAGUCAGCAGUCAACUAUGGACUUUGAGUAGUCAACUGACCAUUGGGUCCCACAUGUCAUUGACUGUUCUUUUAUCAGUGCUUAUCCCUUUAAACAGUGCAGCGGGUGUCGUGGUUCUAAGCCUGAUAGUAGAAUAGGGGGGUAGGAAUGUAGAGGCGAGAUCCUAGCUAUGGAGGAGUUGUACACGCGAGUUUUACGAGUUUAGGCCCUUCUCAGAGGAAGUAACAGCCCUACGUCUCGGAGCCCAGAGGCGGUCGACUGGAUAUAUACGUGUGAAUUACAAAAGAUGCGAAUGCUUGUCCCGGAGGAGGGGGUGGCUUAUAUAGAGUGCGCCAGGACCCCAGCUCCCCUCUGUUACACAGGGUUCAAUGUUCAUAAAGGAGGAGCGUUACUGGUAACGUCCGAAGUAAAGUGCUAUAAAUGAUUAUUAAAGCUAUGACUUAAAUCCCGACCGUUGCGGAGUGAGUGGCUUCACAUCUUCUGGUGGUCGAGUGGUUGUUCGCAUGGUCGAGUGGCUUCAAGGCUGUCGAGUGGAACAUAGCUUCAUGGUUGAGUGGAUGAAGAUCUCUCUUUGAUUGCUUCUGGUUCUUUUUAGAGAUGUCCUUGGGGAGGGUAUCUUGGACAGAUCCCUGACCCUACUCUAGGUACACAACUUCGUCAUUAGCCCUCGAAUGGAUCAGGGUUUGAGUGGGGAAGGAGUUGAGAACACUUCCAACUCAUUCUUUGUGUUGUGAGUAUAACUUGUUCUGGAGCCAUAAACUGAGGAGACAACGCCAACUUCUUUUUCCGUCGCCUUGGUAAAUUCUUGGUAUUUGUCGAGUGAACUUUCACUACUAGGGAAAACCUUAUACACAGAAUCUUAGCAGCAGCGCGGCAUAAAAACAGGUGCUGCUGCUAAGUAGUAGCAGCGCGGCUACGGAAAGCUCGCUACUAGUGCAAACUUAGCAGUGGCGCAUGAUGCUUAAACCGCGCUGCUACAAAAAUCCACUGACAGUACACAACGACAUAAGUUUACCAGUAGCGCGGCGCCAGGGAGCCCGCUGCUGCAAAUGCCAUAGUAGCAGCGCGCUUUUUUGUCACCUCGCUGCUGCUAAUUUUGAAAUUGUGCACAGGGUUGGCCCGUUUAGCAGUAGUGCGUGACAGGAAAGCGCGAUGUUGCUACGCUCUUAGCAGCAGCGCGCUUUCUCUCCCGCGCUACUGCUAAGACACAGCACCCACCACCUUUUCCACCUCCCCUCCCCAUCUCCUCUCCUCCCUUUCCCCUACCUCCCACAUCCUCCCUCUCUCACUCUUCUUCUUCCUCAAUACUUCUCCCCCCAUUACUCUCCCUCUUCUACCUACCUUUCUCUCUCUUCAUUACUCCUAGCUAUAACUACACCACCUCCAUUAAUUCAUCUCCUUUCUCUUUUUCCUCACCCCUCCACUAGUUGAAGUUGUCUCCUCCCAAAUUAGCUAGCUAGGUAGAUGUAGCAUUUAGUUAAGUGACCUAUUUGCCCCCUGACUAGAUCUUUCUUUGUCAAGAAGAGCUUUGUGCACUUUUGACCUCCCUACAUCAUCAUCUCCACCGUGUGCUCGAUCUCGAGAUAGAGGUGUGAUUAAUAUUUCAUGCUUUUGCAAAAUGGAAAUAUGUUUAUGCAUGUGUGUGAUAUUUCUAUGGAAAUUGUGUGUGUGGCAUGAGUUGACGCCAAAUUGUGCAUUUGAGUUGCCUAUGUUUUGCCGAAAUGUCGAUUUAUGUCCGUUUCGGCGAAUUCCAGGCAAACUCUAGAUCUAUAUAUGUCCUAUUUUUAAGGAAGGUCAUGCCGAAUUUUUGUAUGACUUUGAUGAAUGCAUGCAUUUUUAUAAUCAAUUUGUUUAUUAUUACCGUGCAGAGUUGACGAUGGUCAGUGGAAUGAUGGUGGACAGGUGGUUGCGAUCGGCGGUGCAGGACAUGAAGGAAAAUAACCUGACAGAGGUUUUAUGUCUGUGUCGAAAAUGCAAAGGAAUAGUUUGGUUUGACCCCCAUGUCGAUGGUCGUGUCGAAGCGCACCUGCUCAUGACUGGUUUCAUGGAUGGCUAUACUCGGUGGAUAACUGAAGAUGAGGAUGACGAUGUUGAGGAUGCCGACGGGGCAGGCAAUGAUGACACGGGGCAAGAUGAAGAGAUGAUCGAUAAUGGCGGCGGGAAGAGGCCGGACAUGGCGGCGGAGAAGGGGCCGGACAUGGCGGCGGAGAAGGGGCCGGACAUGGCGGUGGAGAGAACGACAUGGACUCCACGCAGCAGAGUUCGUCGGUACUAAGUUCAAUCGUGCGGGACCCUCAUGUUCAAGCAUUGCUUCGCAAGGAGACGAGUACUGAGAGAGCUGCUUCUAGAGAGGAGGCUAAGCUGGAGCAACUGGUGGUAGACUUGAACACUCCAUUGUAUGAUGGUUGCAAUCCUGAGGUGACCCGCUUGAGUUUCACGCUCCAAGUGCUGAAGACGAAGGCUAAAAACAAAUGGACCGACACUAGCCUCGAUGAGCAUCUCAAGUACCUAAAGGAUGUUCUUCCCGAGGGUAAUCUAUGUCCUAGUAGUGUUGAUGAGGCCAAGAAGAUCGUGUGCCCUCUUGAUCUGCCACACGUUAGAUACCAUGCAUGCAUCAACGAUUGCAUAAUUUAUCGGAAGGAGCACACGGAAAAAACAAGUUGUUUGGUGUGCAAUGCUUCUCGAUACAAGAAGGCCGGGAAGAAAUGUCCCCAGAAAGUGGUAUGGUACUUACCGAUCACUCCCCAUCUCUAGAGGUAUUUUGUAGAUCCCAAGGAAGCAAAGCUAAUGCGCUGGCACGCGGAGAGGAAGAAGCCCGACGAUGGAGAUGAUCCGAAGCUGAGACACGUCAAGGAUGGAAGCCAGUGGAGAGCGUUGAAUAGCUUCUAUCUGUAUUUUGAAUGUGAUGCAAGGAACAUCGUGCUCGGCGCGUAUACCGAUGGCAUGAAUUCAUUUGGCAACGAGAGCACCAACCAUAGCACAUGGCCCGUGUUUGUAUGGAUGUACAACCUCCCCCCUGGUUGUGCAUGAAAUCGAAGUACAUUCACAUGAGCAUGCUUAUUCAAGGGCCGAAACAACUAGGAAAUAAUAUUAAUUUGUAUCUGAGGCUACUUCAGGAGGAGUUAGACACGUUAUGGAAAACACCGGCCAAGACAUGGGACGCCAGCAAAGGCGAGUAUUUCAACAUGAGAGACGCGCUGAUCACGACAGUGCACGACUAUCUUGGUUACGGAUAUGUGGCAGGCCAGGUGUGCCAUGGAUAUUGCGGAUGCACGCGGUGCAUGGAUGAUACGACAUCUCAGCAGCUAACGUCAAGGAAAGAUGGCGGGUCUUGGAAAAUCGUGUACAUGGGGCAUCGAAGAUGGCUCAAACAGGACGACCCAUGGAGAAACCGUGGAGAUCUAUUCAAUGGUCAUGCUGAGCAUCAAGGACCUCCACGUAAGCGGAGCGGUGCCGAAAUCGAUGAGCUAUUGAAAAACUGGAAGGAGUGCCCCGCGCCGGGAAAGACAAUGAGAAAGGCGCCGGAGCCGCUGCUGAAGGUAUGGAAAACGAGGUCUGUGUUCUGGGACUUGGAGUACUGGCACAAACUCGAUACACCUCAUUGCCUUGAUCAAAUGCAUAUCUGUAAGAAUGUCCUGGAGAGCUUGCUCGCAACACUGAUGAACAUGCCGGAUAAGACCAAGGAUGGGCCGAAGGCAAGAAAAGACUUGCAAGAUUUGAAAAUCAGGGAAGAUCUGCACAUGUCGCCCCGUAAAAUGUCAGACGAGACAGAGACGGAGACAGAGGCACGGGAGAAGAAGGGCAAGAAAAUAAAGAAUGAGGAUUAUUGCCCCCCUUCUUGCUUCACCUUAAGUCAGGCUGAGAUCAAUCAAUUCUUUAAGUGCCUUACUAGAGUCAAAGUUAGUUCCGGUUACUGUGGCAAGAUAAGUAGAUAUCUAGACACGGACAAGAAAAGGUUCAGCGGGAUGAAGUCUCAUGACUGUCAUGUGAUGAUGACGCAGAUAUUACCUGUUUUCCUUAGAGGGAUAAUGGACAAGCACGUUCAUGACACGCUUAUUGGUCUCUGCAACUUUUUUGACGUCAUCUCUUGAAAGUCGAUCAGUGCGAAGCAGCUCCGAAGGCUACAGGAAGAGAUCGUUGUGAUACUGAAUGAGCUUGAGAUGUACUUCCCGCAUGCAUUCUUUGACGUGAUGGUGCAUCUGUGUGUCCAUAUUGUGGAUGACAUAAUAGACCUGGGGCCGUCAUUCCUGCACAACAUGAUGCCGUUUGAGAGGAUGAAUGGGAUCGUCAAAGGAUUCGUUCGUAACAUGUCCCAUCCGGAUGGAAGCAUCGUCCAGGGAUAUUUGACACAACAGUGCAUCUCUUUCUGUGAGAAUUUUCUAUAUGGCGCAGACCAGCCGCCUGGUGUUAGUGUUAUGGGAGGCUCGAAGGAGAAGGUCACUGCAACGGUCGCAGGGAACUGCACGUGGCAUACUCAGAUCGACGCAGCGACUUUGACAGAGCAAACUUGGUAGUGAUACAACACCUAGACGAGGUAGAUCCUUUCGUGGCACUAUACAAAGAAAUUAUCGCAAAGAAGUAUCGUGAUCGGGGGUUAUGCAGGACGGACGCCGAAGUUACUAGAGAGCACAACUCCACUUUUUUGCAUUGGUUCAAAUAGCAUAUUAUUGCUAAUCCCCCGGAGGAGGUCAAAUGAUGUAAUAUAUAUAUAUAUAUGUUCCUAUUUUGUAUACACACUUAAUUAGCCAUUAUUAUGCAUGGGUCCAAUGAUGUAAUAUAUAUAUGUUCCUAUUUUGUAUACACACUUAACCAUUAUUAUGCAAGGGUCUAAUGAUGUAAUAUAUAUCACUACACCACGCACCAGAUCUCCCUACCGGUGUGUGUUGGGAAAAGUCAAUUUCGCCAAUAGACUGUUAGUUGGGAAAACUUCUAAUGAAUUGUUGGUCGGCAAUAUGCGAGUAUCAUGUCCAACUGUUGGUCGGCAAUACUUGGAUAUUUCACGUUGGACUGUUGGUCGGGAAAGCUUUUGUCUGCGUCACACUGUUGGUCGGCGAUUAAUGCCGACCGACUGUUGGUUGCCAAUUGGGCCGGCCCAUCUUUGCUCGCGCGGGCCAAAAACUAGGCGCCAAGCCUCCCUCCUAUUUUUUCACUCAGCUUUUGUGCCACGACUAAAUCCAAAUUCCCCAAACCUAAAUCCCCUCACGCACUCCCUUCGCCGCCGAGCACUCGCUAUCUGGCAUCCCGCCCGCCACCGACCGCCCGCCGUCUCCAGCACACCGUCACCGUGGUAGCAAGGGUGCUUCCCUGUCUCCUUCAUCCUCCUGCAUCCCCGAUGCUUAGCCCCCAAGCACUUCUAACCCUAGCUUGUGCGCUGGAGUUUGGGGAGAGGCCAAGGUGCAGUGGUGGAUGCCGCCGUCCCUCUCAGAUCCGGGGCUGAGAGAGAGAGAGAGAGGUGGGUAACCUGCGAGAGAGAGUACUCGCACCCUCGCUUGUCACCCAGGCGCCGUCACCAUCGCUGCCACGGCAUGGGCUUCCUCCGAUCUGCACCCGCCGGUUCGUUUGAAGAAGGAUCUGGCCGUUGACUGUUGGUGCUUCCCCUCCCCCGACGGUGAGUGUUCUUCUCACUCUCCUCUCCCUCUCCACCCCUCCCCAAUUGGUGCUUCCGUUAGUUGAUUUGUUUGCCUUUCCCUUUUCCGUUCAGAUCUGCCAUAACUUGGGAUAGUACUUCUAUCCAGCAAGCAGCGCUUCGGCUGGGAGCUCAAGCUCAAGCAUAACGUCCGAAAAAAGGGCUCUAUCUGCUAAUGGGGUAGCCGGCAAUGCAGUCUAAGGGCUGGCUACUACUCAUCUGAUUUCUGGAUAUGAGAGGAUGAGAACUUGAGAAGAACAAGCUUGAUGCUAUGAUUGCGAAAAAACAUGUACUACAGGUAUUCCUUUCAGUACUGUUGCAGCAAUCCUUAAUUAGCUACUUUUUUAUGAACUGGUUGUGAUUGAUUUGUGAACUUUAGAGCUUGUGAGUUGUAAUGUGUGAUUUCAUAGGAUGCUUGAAGGUUAAUAAAAGGGUAUUAUUCCUACGAAAGUUCAUUACUUUAUAUAUAUAUAAAUUUAUCCACAUAUCUGUGCUUUGAUACGAGGGACAACCCUGAGAACUAGCUUCAUCCAUGAAAAGUCCAAAUAAUCAUAGUAAUGUUUCAGAUUUUUAGUUAAGUGUUGUAGAAUUCUUUUAAAUAGAGGAGUAUAUUAAAUUUUCAUCCUCUGAACCAGGUGAGAGUUGAGACACGCCAUACACAGGCUCUGCAAGAUGGCGGAAAUAGACCUCUUCGUCGAUGACUUCUACGAGGACGAUAUUGACCUAGAGGCUGGAGCUUUGCUACUCUUUCCGACUAACAACAAGGUAUCGUUUACUUUUUCUCUCCCCACAUACAAUCCUUCCCUGUUCCUGUCCCCCCUGCUUAUUUCUUGCUAUAGGGCAACACACUGCAAGUGUUUGUUAAAUUGUUAGUCUCAAUGCUCCAAUUCUGGCAGAAGGAUUUAAGGUAGGAAGACAUAGCACCAACCAAGGAUUUUCGGUAGGAAGACAUAACAUCACUCAUGGUUAUAUGGAUUUAAUGUUGUAUUUCUGUAUUUUUGCAAAAUUACUUCUGUGAAGCUUGUAGAUUAUUUCAGUUCUUCAGUUGUUUUACACUUAGGCUUGUAUUAACUUGCAACUUCUUUUCUCCAUAAUUUUGCAACAAUAGUUCUGUAGUACUUGGUACAGUUUUUCUGGAAUCAUGAUAAAAUACACAUAUAUCUAGCCGUUUGUAUUUCGACAGCACUGCUUCUAAAGAUUUUAGAGUUUUAUUUUCACUAUAAAUUUGCUUUAGUAGUUCUGUAAAUUCCAGAAUAUUUCAGUUAAGGGGUUCUACUCUUAGGCUUGUAUAGACUUACAACAUCUUUUAUUUGCAAUUUUGCAAUGAGAAUGGUUUCACAACUGUAGAUAGUUCAGCUUUAUAAGGCCAUUGUAUCCAUGAAGAAAUUUGUUAUUUAUUUCUGAAUACAUCUCGUACCAUUUAUCUGUACAUUGUAGAGCAACUCAUAUUGGUGUAGCGAUGCAUUUUAAGAUAUGGCAUGAAGCUAGCUAAUGGAUUUUAUUAUUUCUAGCAGCAUGUGAUUCACUGAACAAAAAAAGGACUGCACUCACAUAUGAAAUGCUUGCAAGUUUUAGAAAAAUGAAGCAAAGGACAAGUGGUGUAGGUAAGGGCUUUAAUUUGUUAGUACUCCACUUGCUAUGCAUCAAGAUUCAAUCAAGUAGGAUUCCCAGUGUAUUUGCAGUUUUUACAUAGUGUUUUGCAUGUGAAUUGUGGUCACUACUGUCAAUCCAUGGAAAGUUAAAUGUAUAGUGAUGGAUGAAACGAAUGGAACCUAUAUCAUGGGUUGCAAGUACUAUAUUGUUGCUUCUAAAACACUUGUAUGCACAGAUAGUUUCUCUUGGUUAUCAUAAGUGAACAUUAUUGAGAUAAAUUUUGCUUAGUUUUUUAGUGGGGAAGGAAAGCUUCAUGAUAUUCCAUUUAAAGCGAUGAUAUCUAUUUGAAUAUUAAUUUAUGUGCAUACCUCCUUGAUCCUAACAGUAUUUGUGUACUGUAUAGGAGAAAUCUUCUCAGUUUCUGAAUCCUGAGCAGUAGCAAGUCAGGUGCUUAAUGGUGAUCCUACCAUGCAUAUGGCAUAAGCAGGUUAGUUCUAAAAAGGUCAUUGUUAAUUCGCUCGCAUCUGUCCCGCAAUUGCCACAACUUAGUGUAGUGAGAUCAGAGGAUGGUCGUCAAUUUAAUCUAAUUUGUGGCACUGAAGUACAAAUGUUUUUAUGAAUAUAAUAGUCAGGUGCAGUGUAAGUUCAGAUGCUUUUAUGAAUAUAAUAGUCAGGUGGAGUGUAAGUUCAGAUGCUUUUUGUUUGGUAUUUUGCAAGUCCUCAUGUGCUUAGUACUGCAUUUGGAAAUGAUUGAGAAUAGAUUCUUCUCCUUGAGAUUCAUUUUUAACAUAGGGAAAGUAUGUAUAACCUCCUGAUGUACGUGGGUUUUUGAGAAUGCUUUUCCCAGGGCAUGCUGUACUCAUCAUUGAAACUCCUAGCUGUGUAUUAGAUAGUAAUAAUUUUGCCUAAUGUAUUGCCGUCUAGUGCAGCAAAGUGCGGUCUUUUCCACCCCAGAGAAGAAAAAGAAAGAAAAUUAGUGCAGUCUUUUCUUCAAAAAUGAUUUUCGUGUGUCCGGUGGUGGAUGUGUUGCUCCCAAUGAUUGGGUGUCUGGACAUGUUAAAUUGUUGCCCUGUGGCCAGAUGAUGCAUAUACUCCUUUUCCGUUUAAUAUACUUCCUGGUCUGCGGCUUGAGGAGAUUGAUGCAUGCUAUAUGGUGGGUCGGUGUGGCAUUGAUGCUUUAUUAUGUCUAACACAUCACAGAUUCUAAUUAGAACAUGCCCUGUUUUUAUAAUACUAAAAUCCGAGUUUGUUUUUGCCAUUGAUGCUUUAUACAAUUAUUAUUAUUGCCAUUAUCUCUAUGAAUGCAUGAAUUCACCGGUGACCCUUUUAUCCUUUGUAGGAAUGACAUACAAGAGGACCGGGAAGGAACCAUGAAGAUGGCAGUUUGCAUCAGCUAGACAUUUUGUGUAAUGGAGCAAAUACAAUGUGUCUUUUAGUUAGCAUUUUGUUCUUGUCAAUUGGGUAUUUUGUGUAAAGGAGAAAACAAUGAAUCGUCAGACAUGCAUCUAUCAUUUUAUAAACCAAUCAGGAGUCUUGGUGACUGAAACAUAAAUGUUUCCUCCUUUUAGUUAGUUACCUUUUACCUAUAUAAGAAUAUUCUUCUUUGGUUCUGGUUUAAUAUUUUUAGAGUUCAUGCAAGUUUCUGUUGCAAUGAGAUAUGCAACUUGAUUGAUAUUGUUUGGAAAGGCACAAGCCAAAUAAUGGCUGGGUAUUAAAUAUAUAUUGCUUGGCUAAACAAAAUGCUAUCAAACUGUUGGUUGGCAAAAGAUAACAACGUCCUACUAUUGGUCAGGAAAGUUUUAUGGUAGGGCUGAGAGGAAGUUGGUCAGCAAAUGUACUGCCAUCGGACUGUCCGUCGGGAAAGGUUUAUGGCAGGGCCAACGGAAAGUCGGUCGGUAAAGAAAGUACCAUCAGAUAGUCGGUCGGGAAAUUUUAUCAUCUGACAGUCGGUCGGGAAAGGUUCAUAGCAGGGCCAACCGAAAGUUGGUCGGCAAUGCUUUCGAUAGCCGUCAAACAGUCGGCCGGGAAAGAUAUGUCGGUCAGGAAAAGGCUUUCCCGUCUGGACUUUCCCCAACAGACUUGGUCGGUCGGUAAUAGUCUUUUCCGACCGAUUGUCUGUUGGUGAACGUUGUUUUCCCUAUCGACUUGUGUGUUGGGGAUGUAGUGUUGUGGUGUAGUGUAUGUUCCUAUUAUGCUGAGGAAAAGAAAAAAGGGAAACUGGUUAUAGCAGUAGCGCUUUAGUGAAAAAGAGCUAUAGCUAGUCAAGGUAGCAGUAGCGGUUUCUGCAAAAAAUCGCUAUAGCUGCUCGUAAUAGUAGUAGCGCGUUUCAUGAAAACGUGCUACUGCUACGUCCACUUAACCCAAAAUUCUCCCUCUCCCUGCUUCAUCCCGCCUCUUUUCCCCCAAAUCCCCACUCUCUCUUCCCCGGCCCCGUCGCACCGCCGCNNNNNNNNNNNNNNNNNNNNNNNNNNNNNNNNNNNNNNNNNNNNNNNNNNNNNNNNNNNNNNNNNNNNNNNNNNNNNNNNNNNNNNNNNNNNNNNNNNNNNNNNNNNNNNNNNNNNNNNNNNNNNNNNNNNNNNNNNNNNNNNNNNNNNNNNNNNNNNNNNNNNNNNNNNNNNNNNNNNNNNNNNNNNNNNNNNNNNNNNNNNNNNNNNNNNNNNNNNNNNNNNNNNNNNNNNNNNNNNNNNNNNNNNNNNNNNNNNNNNNNNNNNNNNNNNNNNNNNNNNNNNNNNNNNNNNNNNNNNNNNNNNNNNNNNNNNNNNNNNNNNNNNNNNNNNNNNNNNNNNNNNNNNNNNNNNNNNNNNNNNNNNNNNNNNNNNNNNNNNNNNNNNNNNNNNNNNNNNNNNNNNNNNNNNNNNNNNNNNNNNNNNNNNNNNNNNNNNNNNNNNNNNNNNNNNNNNNNNNNNNNNNNNNNNNNNNNNNNNNNNNNNNNNNNNNNNNNNNNNNNNNNNNNNNNNNNNNNNUUAAUUUACUUAGGUUUUAGUUAUGUUAAUUAGGUUAUCUAUUUAGUUAUGAAUUUAGAUAGGUUUCAAAAUUUGCUGAAUUUAUAUGCAAAUUUGAACUGGACAUGUGAUAUGUGGAUAUGUCAUGUUUUGGACAUGUCAUGUUUUGGUAAAUGAUCCGAGUUGCCUAUGUUACGCCGGAAUGUUGAUUCAUUUCCGUUCCGGUGAAUUUCAGGCGCUCGAUAUGUCCAUUUUUUAGCAAAGGUCAGGCCGAAAUUGUCCUCGUGCCUUAUCAUCCAAAGUAAGUCAGUUUCGAACAACCCUUUCAUACAUUUCAAUCAUUCCUUCUCUCUCUAUGGGGAAUAAUUUGAGGUGUCUUUUCCCCGCAGCAACGGGCGCGCCGUCCUUAUCAUUCUUUAUCCGCAAGUCUCCCACGCCGUGUAUUUUGACCCUUCCAGAGACUACGAGAAAAAAGAAUACACCCGCAUAAUGAAUAUUCUAGAUGAUGCUCUCCAAGGCUUCAGCUUUAGAGGUGGCCACAUGCAGAUCAGGAAACAAAGGAACAAGAAGAUGGGUUUCGCGCAUAAAACUAACUUCUCCUGCAUCCAAGUCCCAAAACCAAGCAAGAAGGAUGGAUUCUACAUCCUCCAUCUCAUGAUUCGGUUCAACACGGAUCACCAAAAGCUUCGCAUGAGAAGCAGAAAUGAUGAGCAUAUCCACAAGUGGCUAGAAUCUCAUGGAGAAGCGGAUUUUAAACUUAGAGAUGACUUCUUUCGCAUCCAAAGCGACAUUGCGACGAUCAUCAUGAAAGAAGGCAUCGAUGAGAAGGGGAUGUUCCACCACGGCCCUAUAUCACGAGCUGACAUCCGAGCUCGCAUAGGCAUGCAACGUCUAGACCUCACGCUGUUCAAGAAGCUACGGUCCAUCCUCGAUGAUAUGGAAGGAUGGAACUUCUAGUGAUUUAUGAUGCCGAUGAUGAUGAUAUGUGUCGGUUGAACUUGUAUACUAUUUGUAGCGAUGCAACUUUGUGAUGUCCAUGAUCCCUAGUUGCAUCUAGUUGCUAAACCUUUCUUUUUCGGUGUUCUCUAGUAUAUUUUGUUGCAUAUAUAUGAUUGUACAUCCUCUUCAUGAACAUGCAUCUCUAACAGGUACCUAGUUUCUUGAUGGCGAGAUGGAACUGCUAUGUCGUGUACAAAGGGAAGGUUCCAGGGGUGUACAACGAGUGGCAUGAGUGUCAGGCGCAAUUCAAUGGGUUCUUGGACGCCAGCCAUAAAGGCUUCAAAAGCAGACAAGAAGGAGAAGCUAGUUACUUGAGGUUCACGCUAGCGCGAGAGAGGACUCGUAACCGCCAUCUCAUGUACUGCAUAGUUCCGCUCUCACUCAUAGUGAUAGCUCUUCUCACGUAUACCUUUGUUUAGAUGGAUGACGUUGUAGUUGCAAGUAUUCGAGACUUGCAUGUAUCGCUAUUUUUGAGAUGAUGACAAGAUACCACUUUGUGUUGGAUGAUGAUUAUGACGAGACUAUUUGUAUGUAUAUGCUAUGAUUACAUUUGUGGUCUCGUAGGCAUUUGUAUGUGUAUCAUGAUGAAAUUUGUAUGUGCUAAAGAUUCUUCUAUAAAGCCUGUUCAAAUACAAAACAAAUAUGUUGAAAAAACAAAAAAACUACAAAAUUAGCAGUAGCGAGUGGAGAAAAGUUAGCAACAGCGCGGUUGUAGCAGUAGCGCGCACAGGGGAAGCGCGUUAUAGCUAUUAGCAGCAGCGAGGUUCCUUUAAGCGCGCUGCUGCAACACUUGUGUAGCAGUAGCGCGGGUGGACCAGCGCUACUGCUAUACGUUAGCUGUAGCGGCUUAUUAGUAGCGCCGGCCCCCGCGCUACUAAAAGGUCGAAAACCCGCGCUGCUGCUAGGCUUUUCCCUAGUAGUGUUUCACGGUAGAAUUCUGAAUGAUAUUGUGGAGGAUGUUUUAAGUCUGACCAGUUGCUCUGCUCUCCGUUGAUUUCGCGGGAUUCGAAUUUUGGGAAGCGCGCCAGACGGGCGAGGCCAUGGUAAUCGGGACGGAUUAGGCAGGUCUCCUCAAUCACCGCGCCCCCUUUUUCGCCAUGUAUUGUGCGCGUGACUGUUGCGGGAUUUGUUUAGAUCGUCUGGGACUACCAAUCAGUCACUCGGGGAAUGACCUUAUAAAAGGCACCGGACCGGAUCUCUGCACUGUGCGCUCCCAUUCUCUCUUCUUCUUCCUUCGACCUCUCUUCCACACUCGCUUUUGCUCUCGUCGUCGAACACUCGCUCGAACUCGAUCCGCCGCCAUGGGAAAAGAGAAGACGGUGGCGCUGGAGCACGCGAAGAAGGCAGCCACGAAGGCGAAGGGCAAGCGGACCAGCCGGGGCGGAUCCUCGUUGAGAUCCGGCCUGCCGCCGGGCUGGAUCCAGGGCGACUGGAUCCGCUCGACGAUCAGCCAGGACGACCUUGAUGACCUGGUGGAGGGGGGACUGAUCCCCCACAAAUCGGCGCGGCUCCCGGGGAACAAGACUGAGCCGCAGCCAAGGGAGGGUGAGUGCGUUCUCCUCACCACCCACGUCGAUCACGGAUUUUCUCUGCCUCCCCAUCCUUUCUUUCGGGGCUUUUUGAACUUCUUCGGGGCUCAGCUCCACCACUUCACUCCAAAUACCAUAGUCUAUCUGGUUGCUUUUGUGUCAAUGUGUGAAAAUUUCUUGGGCCGUCGACCGCACUAAGGUCUCUUCAAACACAUCUUCACCUGAUGCUCCCAGUAGGUCAAAAAGGCCAAUCCGAGUGAUGAGAGGACGCACGUGAUCCAGAUGUGCGGGGGACUGGGGAUCCAGAUGAGGAACAAGAGCACCUUCCCAGCGAUGAUCCUUCCCGACUCGGUCUGGGGCUGGCAGUCGACUUGGUUUUACUGUAAGGACCAGCUGACCCCGGGUCAGUCGACCGGACUUCCUCCCUUUUCCCUAGCUCGAGUGGAGAAGCCCUCCUCCUUUAGGGUGGUCCAAGACGAGAAGGCGCAGGUCAAGGUGUUGGUCGAGCGGGUCAUCCAACUCGUCCACGAUGGGGUGACUGGGAUGGACCUGCUGGAGGUCUUUCUCAGUCGACGCAUCCAACCGCUUCAGGCCCAUGACCAUCCGAUGUGGAUGUACUCGGGGCUUGAGGACUCCACUCGGAUCCACCCGGAGGACGUCAGCGAACACACUUUGGAGAAGUGGCUGAAGGGAAUCACCAGCAACAAAGACAAUCCCCAGGGGUCUAGGAGGGUGAUUCCAUUCGAUAACUCGUGCCAGCCGGAACAGGUAUGACUCUGCUUUGUCGAGUAACUUCUUGAUUCUUCGUGUGAGACCUUGUUGAUGGUCGACUGAAUUUCUUUCGAUCGUUGCCCUUUCAGGCCCUCGUUGACAUGUACUCGAUGCCCAAUGGAGUGCAGGGGCAAGACGUCGAUGAAGGAGCGAGCGGGGGCGAGAGCAGCGAGUGGCACUCGGAUGCCGAGGAGGACGAGGAAAGCGACGAGUCGACUGAUGACAAAGAGGUCGACUCACCUCCUCGCAGGGAGAGGAGUUCCAAGCACGCCCACGACCCGGCGAGCACCCCGGACCUGGCGACCGCGCCGACUGGGCAGUCUUCGAAGCGUCCCAGGACGUCUUCUGCAGUGCUGAUUGAGAAGGCUCCAAAGCAUCCCAAGGUUGUGCCGCCUCCAGCGCCCAAAGCACUGAAAGCCACCUCCUCCAAACUGCCAAAAGCUUUGCCCAGGAUAAAAGUGACCAUCCCUACCAUCUCUGGGUAAUCAUCUGACUUGUUCUUUUCGUCGACUCGAGCAACAGAACAUAACUGACUAAGUGCGGGCCUUUGCAGUGCUGCUACAUUAGGAACCUCUUCUCACCAGUACCGAGACGAGGAGAUGGAAGAUGCGGUUACUUCCAACCCAGGUAAAAACUCUUAUGAUCUUUCUCUUGACUACUCGGUCGAUUGAAUUCUAGCGGUUCACUUUGGAGUCGAUUGAUCUUCUCCGCAGCUCCGCCCAACGUCAUCGAUCUCCCAGAUGAUGAUGAAGAUGUGGCUCCUAGGCCCAGGAAGAAUAAAAAGGCGGCGACUGGUAAGGUGUCUCAGCAGGGACCGACGACAACAUCAACCGUCCAUCAAUCUAAAGACGCGGGUGGGGCCUCUGUAACCUUCGUUGUGCAGUUGUCGAGUGAGCGCCCCGCACCGUCGACUGUACCGGUGAUUCCUUCAGUCGUCCCAUCUCACGCCUCGGAGGUCCAAGCUGCUGCACCUGGGUCGUCUGCCCUCUUCUUCGCCAGCUACCCUGUCCCGGAAAACCAGUCGGAUGCGGCUGCGGAAGCCAUCCGUCAGGCUAACGUGAUGAUGGAGCGGAUGAAGACGGUGCACGAGAAUAGCCAGGCCGCUUACGACGCCAGCACUGCUCUCCGAGCCAAUGUCCAGGUAAGUAAACUUUCAACUGUCCUUGCUCUAUCAGGAUAUGCUACCCGAAAAUUUUUCUUCUAUACAAUCUCCUGUUGUUUGCGUCGAAUUAGUACACCCAGUGGGUGUUUUGUUGUCUUCGGUAGUUGCGUUCUUCCACUUGGUCUGGGCGAGUAGGAUCUGAACCGGUGGGGGCAUGCUAAGUGCACCCACUGGGUGUAGUCCCCGAGACCGCAGUCGAGUGCUGGCAGUCGACUAGGGUCUGAGUUCUACCUUCCUUUCUUUUCUUCCACUCGACCCGGGCGGACCGGUCGAAUGAGAUCUGAACCGGUGGGGGCAUGCUAAGUGCACCCACUGGGUGUAGUCCCCGAGACCGCAGUCGACUGCAGGCAGUCGACUGGGGUCUGGAUUUUUUUUAACUUGACCCGGGCGGACCGGUCGAGUUGGGUCUUAAUCAGCGGGGGCAUGCCAAGUGCACCCGCUGGGUGUAGCCUCUGAGACCGCAGUCGACUGUGUGCAGUCGGCUGGGGUCUAAGCGAACUUCUUUAAGUUUUAUCCACUCGGAAGUGAACAACCUUUGAUCUUGUCAACUGACACGUCUUUUGCCUUCUGCAGAAGUCUUGUACUCUCAUUUCCAUGUUUGCUGAACUUGAGGAGAAGCAUAGGCAACUCAACCUCAACUUGGAGUUGGCCCAGCAGAAUCUGAAGAAAGCUCAAGACGAAGCUGCUGGUAUGAAAGGUAACUGCCUGUCGGCUGUCUUUUUAAAACAUUUCUUCGAGCUCUUGUCUGAUCUGAUUGCUUCUUUUGCAGAGAAAAUGAAAUUGGCUCUAGAGAAGAAGGACUCGGACCUCGCCGCUGCACAGAAGGAAGCCCAAGAUAAAACUGCCCUUGCAGACCAGAAGUUGUCUUUAGUCGAAGCACUGGAAGGGGAGGUGACCAAACUGAAGUCCUGCCUCAAUGAGUCCAACCGAGAAGUGAGUCGUCUGAAGAAGGACAAGAUUGUCCUGAAUGAAAAGCUGGAGUCUACGGUCCACAAGAGGAAUGACACGGAAGCUUAUCUGAGAAAUCUUGUCAAGAAGCUCUAUCUGAUGCUGGAAGGUACUCCUUUCAACCCGACUGUGUUGAUGCUUGCAAAUGAACCUUGUCCAGUCGACUCACUAAUUUUUUUUGAUUGCAGAAUUCUGCCAAGACUUUGACGUGGAAACUGGAAGGGUUGAGACGGGUCUGGACCCUAUCGCUUCUCCAGUUUGUGAUGAAACUGCAAUGAACGUGCUCGGACUGAAGUCUCGUGUCGCCGGCGUCACAAGCUACCUCACGCGUCUGAAGGAAGUAGUCUCACGAGUCGACUCAUUGCUCUGGCCAAGGGCGACGUUUCAAACUGACCUGGAAUCCCUGAUGGCUCGACUCAAUGAGAUCCCUGACCGAGUGCAAGAAUGGAAGAAGGCUUCCGCCUGGUGUGGUGCUGACAUGGCGCUGUCCUUGGUGCGAGUCCACUGCAAGGAAGCUCGUGAAGACAAGCUGGCGGCAAUCAAGGUCGCUAACACCAAAAGGCAUGCCUUCCAGUCCUUCAUGGAGACUUUCAUCGCUGCUGCCACUCGGAUCGCGGAGGGAAUCGACCUGAACGAAUUCGUCGAGCCUGCUAGCCCUCCUCCUGCCGUGUGAACAAAAUUAUGAGACUAGAAACUGCCUUAAAUUUGCCUCAGAAUGCCGAGUGAUUUCUGUAACCGUUAAACUCCUUUGGGCUUGAUGAUCGAAUACUUUUGAUUUGCUGUUUGGAACUUCAGGAUUUAUCCCAAUUUGGUUUAUUUCCGAAUAUGCUUUUGUUUUGUCUUCAAGUGGACUUUGUUCUUUGUUCUGAAUAAUCUUUGUGCUUGAAAUGUAGCUCUGAGGUGGUGACUCCAGUCGACCUACAUGCAUUGCAGUCAACCUGCACCUCAUCGUCCUUGCGGAUAGGGAUGUAGCGCGCAUUGUACUUGUGGCAUAGCUCCGAAGGAAAAGGUUGCAGUCGACCUGCACCUCGUCGUCCUUGCGGAUAGGGGUGUGCUUCGAACUUAGGCGAGUAUUGGACUGCAGCUAAGCCUCCGGGUGGGAGAACUUAGGCUAGUGUCGGACUGCAGCUAAGCCCCCGAGUCGGAGGAUUGCUCUCCACUCGGUAGGAUUUUUCAAACUUAGGCGAGUGCUGGACUGCAGCUAAUCCUCCGAGUGGGAGAACUUAGGCGAGUGCCGGACUGCAGCUAAGCCUCCGAGUGGGAGGAUUGCUCUCCACUCGAUAGGAUUUUUUCAAACUUAGGUGAGUGAUGGACUGCAACUAAGCCUCCGAGUGGGAGAACUUAGGCGAGUGCCGAACUGCAACUAAGCCCAUGAGUGGGAGGAUUGCUCUCCACUCGGUAGGAUUUUUUUCAAACUUAGGUGAGUGCUGGACUGCAGCUAAGCCUCCGAGUGGGAGAACUUAGGCGAGUGCCGAACUGUAGCUAAGCCCCUGAGUGGGAGGAUUGCUCUCCACUCGGUAGGAUUUUCUUUCGAACUUAGGCGAAACGGAUUCGCAGCUAAGCCCACCCACUGGGGAUUUCGAAGGUACAUAAGGACAACAACAAUCGAAUGAGAAGACUGAAAAGCUCUUGUCUUUAAUGAACAUAUUACAAAGGUACUUCUUAUUACAUUUUAUUCGAAUGAGUGCUUAAGUAUAAAAGGGGCGAAGCAACUCCGCGUUCCAAGCCCGUGGCUCGUCCUUCUGUUGCUCAACGCUGUAAAAAUGGUAUGCUCCAUUGUGGAGAACUUUGGUGAUGAUGAAGGGACCUUCCCAAGCCGGGGCGAGCUUGUGUGGUUUCUGUUGAUCCACUCGAGGAACCAGGUCCCCCUCUUGAAAGGCUCAACCCCUCACGUUUCUGGCGUGGAAUCGACGCAAGUCUUGCUGAUAGAUGGUCGACCGGAUCAGGGCCAUCUCUCUUUCCUCCUCUAAGAGAUCGACUGAAUCUUGUCGGGCCUGCUCUUCUUCCUCUUCGGAGAAGAGCUCGACUCGGGGUGCGUUGUGUAGCAGGUCACUUGGUAGAACAGCUUCGGCUCCAUAGACCAAAAAGAAAUGAUUUCGUCCGGUCGACCGAUUGGGAGUUGUCCUCAAACCACAAAGAACUGAUAGAAGCUCAUCGACCCAAGUGCCUGCUGCGUGUUUGAGAUCACACAUCAGUCGGUGUUUCAAUCCUUUGAGAAUUAGGCCAUUGGCUCUUUCUGCUUGUCCGUUUGACUGCGGGUGAGCGACUGAAGCAUAGUCGACUCGUGUGCCUUGAGAAGCGCAGAAAGCUCUAAACUCAUCAGAAUCGAAGUUUGACCCGUUGUCCAUGAUGAUGCUGUGUGGAACUCCAUAUCUGAAUGUCAAUUCUCUGAUAAAACUGACAGCGGUGCUGGCUUCAAGAUUCUUGAUAGGUUUAGCUUGGAUCCAUUUGGUAAACUUGUCGACUGCAAUGAGCACAUGAGUGAAGCCGCUCCUACCAGUUCUCAGUGGUCCGACCAUAUCCAGUCCCCAAACAGCAAAGGGCCAGAUGAGGGGAAUUUUCUUCAGGGAUGACGCUGGCUUGUGAGACAUGUCGGAGUAAAACUGGCAGCCUUCACAUCUGUCGACUAUAUCUUUCGCCAUUUCAUUUGCUCGUGGCCAAUAGAAUCCAGCUCGGUAUGCUUUAGCCACGAUGGCCCGAGAGGACGCAUGGUGACCACAAGUUCCCGAGUGGAUGUCAUUGAGGAUCAUUCGAGCUUCUUCUGGCGUUAUACAUUUCUGACCGACUCCAGUCACGCUUUCCCUGAACAGUUGUCCUCUUAUCAUAGUAAAGGCCUUGGAUCGACGGACGAUCUGUCAAGCCUCUUCCUCGUCCUCUGGGAUUUCUUUCCUAAGGAUGUACACAAUGUACAUCAUUUGUCCAGUCGGGAGUAAUGGCCAGAACCUCCAUGAUCAGGUCGACCACGGCAGGGACCUCGACUUUAGUUGGAUCUGUGGCGCUCCUAGGCUACGGGGGCUCUUCAGUAAAAGGAUCUUCCUGAACUAUCGGCGUGUGAAUAUGCUCCAAAAACACAUUGCUGGGAAUGGCUUCUCUCUUAGAACCUAUGUUUGCCAAGUCAUCAGCUGCUUGAUUUUUCAGUCGGGGUAUGUGAUGCAGCUCUAACCCCUCAAACUUCUUUUCCAGCUUCCUCACCGCGUUGCAGUAACCAGUCAUGGCUGGGCUUCUGACGUCCCACUCCUUCAUCACUUGAUUGACUACCAAAUCUGAGUCGCCGUAGACCAUCAGGCAACAGACGCCAAGUGAGAUGGCCAUACACAACCCAUACAGGAGUGCUUCAUAUUCUGCUUCGUUGUUGGAGGAAUCAAAGUGAAUCUGGAGGACAUAUCUGAGCUUGUCUCCUCGGGGGGAUACCAGAACAACCCCAGCACCGGAACCAUUCAGCAUUUUGGAUCCAUCAAAGAACACGGUCUAGUGCUCCGAGUGAACUUGAGUCGGCAGUUGUUGUUCAAUCCACUCGGUGAGGAAAUCUACUAUUGCUUGGGACUUGAUAGCUUUCUUUGCCGCAAACUUGAUAUCUAAGGGAAGGAGUUCAAUCGAUCAUUUUGCCACUCGACUAGUUGCAUCUCUAUUGUGCAGAAUCUCUGACAAUGGAGUGUCGCUGAUGACUAUAACAGAGUGAUUAGAGAAAUAGUGUGCAACCUUCUUCGUGGUCAUGUAAAUCCCAUAAACGAGCUUCUGAUAGUGCGGAUAUCUCUGCUUUGACGGAGUCAGAACUUUAGAAAUAUAAUAAACUAGGCGCUAAACUUUAUAGGUUUUUCCCUCUUCUUCCCGCUCGACCGUAAGUACUGUAGUGACGACUUGUCCAGUGGCUGCUAUAUAAAGCAGUAAAGGCUCUUUAAUGAUUGGGGCAGCAAGCAUCGGCUGGGUGGAAACCAGGGCUUUUAGCUCUACAAAUGUCGCGUCAGCUUCAGGAGUCCACUCGAACUUAUUUGAUUUCUUCAUCAGUCGGUAAAGAGGCAGUGCCUUUUCACCAAGGCGAGAAAUGAAUUGACUUAGGGCGGCCAAGCAACCAGUAAGCUUCUAGACAUCAUGCACACGCACAGGGCGUUUCAUUCGGAGUAUAGCACCCACUUUCUCUGGGUUAGCAUCAAUCCCUCGUUCAGAAACGAGAAAACCAAGUAACUUUCCACCUAGAACUCCAAAUGUGCACUUUGAUGGAUUAAUCUUGAUAUCAUACCUUCUGAGGUUGGCAAAGGUUUUAGCAAGGUCAGCCAGUAGGUCGGAACCUUUACGUGACUUGACCACAAUGUCAUCCAUGUAUGCUUCCACAUUCCGACUGAUCUGAGUGAGCAAGCACUUCUGAAUCAUCCGCAUGAAUGUGGCUCUGGCGUUCUUCAAACCGAAUGGCAUAGUGACAUAACAGAAGCAUCCGAAUGGGGUGAUGAAAGCUGUUCUUAUCUCGUCGGGUCCGUACAGACAGAUCUGGUGGUACCCGGAGUAGGCGUCCAAAAAGGACAAACGCUCGCACCCCGCAGCCGAGUCAACUAUCUGAUCAAUGUGAGGGAGAGGAAAUGAUCUUUCGGGCGUGCCUGAUUGAUAUGUUUGAAGUCGAUGCAAGUAUUAGUCAGCUCCAGCAGCUUUCCCCCUCCCUGCGGUCCGCUGGAGCAAACGCUCCGGUCGGUCGAGGCUUAGCGGUGGGUGAGGCAUGUGGUGGCUCGCCAGUCGGCCACCCCUCAAGUCGACGCACAUGCAAAGUGAUUCGUCCUUCUUUGGGACCAUGACAACAUUAGCUAACCACUCAAAGUGGUAAAUCUAAUGGAUAAACUCAGCAGCCAAAAGCCGAGCCACCUCUUCAUCGAUUGCCUUCCUCUUCUGAACGGCGGGCCGUCGAAGAUGUUCUUUGACUGGUUUCACUUUUGGGUCGACUCACAAACGAUGCUCAGCCAGAUCCCUGGGAACACCUGGCAUGUCCAAAGGUUUCCAUGCAAAGAUGUCCCAGUUCUCACGGAGGAACUGGGUGAGCGCUUCUUCCUAUUUGGAGUCGAGCGUUGUUGAAAUGUGAGUCGGAGCAGCAUUAGGAUCCGUCGGGUGGAUGUGAAUCGACUUUGUUUUGCCAGACGACUGGAAUGCUGAAUCCGUGGCGGGCUUCUUGGCUCGCAACAAAUCACUCGGAUCUGCGUUUUUUUGAUACUCUUGCAAUUCUGCCACAGCCAUCUGUGCAUCGGCGAUCUUUGAGCACUUCUGGAAGCACUCCUCUACCUUCUUCCGACUACCAGUGGUACUGAUCACCCCUUUGGGACCAGGCAUCUUCAAUUUGAGGUACACGUAGCACGGUCGAGCCAUAAAACGUGCGUAAGCUGGCCUGCCCAGAAUAGCAUGAUAGGCACUCUGGAAAUCCACAACUUCAAAUGUCAACCUCUCUUUGCGGUAAUUCUUGGAGUCGCCAAAAACCACGUCGAGAGCAAUCUGGCCGAGUGAAGCAGCCUUCUUGCCUGGAAUGACCCCAUGGAAACUCAUAUUACUUUCACUGAGCCUGGACAUCAGAAUGCCCAUCCCUUUCAACGUCUCUGCAUACAGAAUAUUCUGGCCACUUCCACCAUCCAUCAGAACCUUAGUCAAUCGGGUGCCUUCGACUACGGGGUCGACCACCAACGCUUGCCUCCCAGGGGUGGCUAUGUGUGCCGGGUGAUCGGACUGGUCGAAUGUAAUGGCAGUCUGGGACCAUUUCAAGUAACUGGGUGUCACCGGAGUGACCAUGUUUACUUCUCUGUUGAUGGUUUUCAAUCGACUUUUACUCUCAACAUCAGCAAAAAUCAUCAGAGUGGAAUUCACGUGGGGAUAACCAUCAUCAUCUUCCUCCUCGUCCUCAACGUUGUCAGUUUCUUUCUCCUUUUCCUUGAAUCACGGCUAAGGCCUCGACAGGAGCUGCUGGCUCAGCUUUGCGUCUUUGCUUCUGACUGGAACUUCCCCCUCCGGCUUCAUGGGCGACUGUUUUGUGCUUGCCACUCCGGAGUAGUUCUUCUUCUUCACCAUUGGCAUACUUGGUGGCAAUCUCCAUCAUCCGAGUCAGAGUCAUAUUUCCUGUCCGACCGAAUUUCAGAUACAACUCCCAAUACUUGACGCCUUCUUUAAAGGCAUAAAUUGCCUGAUGAUCAGACACAUCCUCCACCAUGUGGUGCAGGGUAAUCCAUCUCUGGAUAUAAUCCCUCAAUGUUUCAUUCGGUUUCUGAACGCAGCAUUGUAAUUCUGUCAAACCUGCCGGUCGUUUGCAAGUGCCCUCGAAUGUUCUGACAAACACUCGGGCGAGAUCUUCCCAAGUAUAAAUACUACUAGGUGCCAACUGAUUUAGCCAUGCUCUAGUCGAGCCCUCCAACAUCAGAGGAAGGUGUUUCAUGGCCACUUCGUCAUUACUGCCACCAAUCUGGAUAGCCACUCGGUAGUCUUCAAGCCAAGUGUCAGGCUUGGACUCACCAGUGAACUUACUGACUCCAGUUGCCAACCUGAAGUUGGCGGGAAUCACUGCAGCCCUGAUGGCUCUGCUGAAGCACUCUGGACCUGAGACAUGCACCCUGCUGCUGGUUUGCGGAUCCCUGUCAUGGCCUCGGUGAGCUUUGUUUCUGUCGACCAAGCCCUGAACGAGAAUAGAUCUCGCAUCAAAGCCUGGCUCCCUGGGGUCGACUGGAAUCCCUCGCCCAACACUGUGAGGGCGCCUGUCAUCAUGUUGCCGAGGCACAUAUGACCCACUCCUUGGGGGAGGUGUGGGCACUCGACAACGAUCAUCGCGAUCGACUCGGUGUUCAUACUACUCACGGUUUCUGUACUGAUCUCGUCGAUCUCCACGUCCUUCACGCCUCGGGGGCGAUCUUGGGCUGUGAGCCAACUGAACUGUGUCUCCAACCACGGAUCUGCUAUGGAUCCUAUUCCGCGACUGAGACACGGCUGUAUUCUGUUCUCCCGCCGCCCGAAGCAAAGCUCGGAUUUGCACCAGACCUCGGCCAGCUUCUGACUGGGAAGGUUGGAUCGACUCUGCUAUCCGGGCAGCAACUGCAAGAUUCUGGAUCAGAGUCCGGUAUACCUGAGUCUGAGGCGGAAAAAGUUGGCGUCGACUGGAUUCGGGAGAUCACUGCUGAGCGCGAUCAUCGAGUGCGCGCUGGAGGUUCUCCAGUCAAGUGCGCUCAGCCAAGUUGGCCAGGCACGCCUGCUCCAAGGCCUGGGCCUCAGGGGUUUCUCCAACUAUAGGAGUAUGCAGUGCAUCCAUGUUCCAACAGCGAAGUUCUUCCCUCCGCUGCGUAGAGAGGGGUUCGGGGCGGUACUCUUCAUGAACGUGCGACGGAUCACCGUCCCCAUCGCCUCCGUCUUCACGGGUGAAGCCAGGAGGACUGCGUGGUCCAUUGACCAUCAAAACUUCUGCCGCUGGGUCACUGUUGUCGCACUCGGAUGCAGUCUCUACGGAGCAAGUCGACAGAUUGAACAGGCCAUAGAGAGUUUCGUCGGGCUCGAUUGCCACGACUUGAGGGGUGGCCGACUGGCGAGCCACCGCAUGCCUCACCCACCGCUGAAGCCUCGACCGACCGGAGCGUUUGCUCCGACGGGCCACAGGGAGGGGGAAAGCUGCUAGAGCCGACUGAUACUGGGUCGACGGCUACCGCAGGAGGAUGCCGCGAAUGCACGCGCGAAAGUGCGUCGCCCCGCGGGCGGGGAGUGCGCCGACGUCGAGUGGAGCCUCCUGAAGCCAAGCGGAGUCGUCGGUGACAAACACGAGCGUGCCGAGACGGAUCUCGCGGCCCUCAGCCAAACCUCUGCCUGAAACCAUGAUGAAGGGGAUCGGAAAAUUGCAACUUCUCCAACAAUUCGCUAAGACACCUGCCCCACGGUGGGCGCCAACUAUCGUGGUUCUAAGCAUGACAGUAGAAUAGGGGGGUAGGAAUGUAGAGGCGAGAUCCUAGCUAUGGAGGAGUUGUACACGCGAGUUUUACGAGUCCAAGCCCUUCUCGGAGGAAGUAACAGCCAUACUUCUCGGUGCCCAGAGGCGGCUGAGUGGCUUAUAUAGAGUGCACCAGGACCCCAGCUCCCCUCCGUUACACAGGGUUCAAUGUUCAUAAAGGAGGAGCGUUACUGAUAACGUCCAAAGUAAAGUGCUAUAAAUGAUUAUUAAAGCUAUGACUUAAAUCCCGACCGUUGCGGAGUGAGUGGCUUCACAUCUUCUGGUGGUCGAGUGGUUGUUCGCAUGGUCGAGUAUCUUCAAGGUUGUCGAGUGGAACAUAGCUUCGUGGUCGAGUGGAUGAAGAUCUCUCUUUGAUUGCUUCUGGUUCUUUUUAGAGAUGUCCUUAGGGAGGGUAUCUUGGAUAGAUCCCUAACCGUACCCUAGGUUCACAGCUUCGUCAGCGGGCCCACAUGUCAUUCUCUAUUUUAGUUAUUUGUGAUUAUUUCAAACUGAGGUUAAUUAGUGCAUGUGGGUCCCGUUGUUAGUGUCUGGUUAGGGGGGUUAAUUAGUGCUAAGUCAGCAGGGGAGGCCGGCUGGGCUUACACGGGCACCAGGCGCUGGCGGCCAUAGCCGGGCGGCUGGACGCGCACGGGAGCCAAGGGCUCCGGUGCCCACGACUAGUAGCAGCGGCGACCAAAUGGCGGGGUGCUAGAGCGGGCAACGGCUGCCGGAGGCAGACUAAAGGCGGCGGUGUUAGCGAGUAGCAGCAGAGCACGGCAGGAAGCGGCAGCGGAGCGAUUGGCGCGGCGUACGGGCGAGGGCAGGACAAGGCCGCGGUGAGCGCGACGAGCACGAGUGCUCGCGGGCGCGGGCGCGGGCGGAGGCAAGGACGCCGGGUAGGGCCACAGCGAGCGCGACGCGUUUAGCAAGGGGGGAAGAGGGAGCAUGAGGUGGUGCUCAUGUUCGAUGCAGGGAAGGGGGCGGCGUGGCUCGAUGGCGUCCGACGAGGAGGAGGAUGGGGACGAGCAACCGAGAGGAGGAGAUACGGCGAGGAAGCAGUCCGGCGAGGCGGCUUUUGGCGACGGCGAGGUUGCUCUGGUUGGUGGCGAUUCCUUCGGCGCGGGCGCGCGAAGGACGGUGAGGCGCCGGCGGUUGGAGGUAGAGGGCGGCGUCGGGGCCAAGGGGACGGGGAAGGCUAGCACCGAGGCAUGGCAGUGGCACGGCUCGGUGGAGCCUGGAGCGAACGAAGGGAGGAGAGGCUGUGAGGGGGGUUCAAGCACGAGGCGUCUCACCUCUGUGUGUGCGGCGGCGCGAGGG
Molecule: long non-coding RNA, 31948 nt
Filed under: Triticum aestivum (bread wheat)
Lineage: Eukaryota; Viridiplantae; Streptophyta; Magnoliopsida; Poales; Poaceae
Description: long non-coding RNA (TAES_LNC010092)
Source: RNAcentral